This 433-nucleotide ribosomal RNA is filed under the name uncultured Lachnospiraceae bacterium. RNAcentral describes it as "partial 16S ribosomal RNA". It matches the Rfam family "Bacterial small subunit ribosomal RNA", at positions 341 to 792 of the family's 1533-position model. Lineage: Bacteria; Bacillati; Bacillota; Clostridia; Lachnospirales; Lachnospiraceae. The record is from RNAcentral.
ACGGAAGGCAGCAGUGGGGAAUAUUGGACAAUGGGGGCAACCCUGAUCCAGCGACGCCACGUGAGCGAUGAGGUAUUUCGGUAUGUAAAGCUCUAUCAGCAGGGAAGAUAAUGACGGUACCUGACUAAGAAGCACCGGCUAACUACGUGCAGCAGCCGCGGUAAUACGUAGGGGGCAAGCGUUAUCCGGAUUUACUGGGUGUAAAGGGUGCGUAGGCGGCAUGGCAAGUCAGAAGUGAAAUCCCAGGGCUCAACCCUGGAACUGCUUUUGAAACUGUCAGGCUAGAGUACAGGAGAGGUAAGCGGAAUUCCUAGUGUAGCGGUGAAAUGCGUAGAUAUUAGGAGGAACACCAGUGGCGAAGGCGGCUUACUGGACUGACACUGACGCUGAGGCACGAAAGCGUGGGGAGCAAACAGGAUUAGAUACCCUGGUA